This 253-nucleotide ribosomal RNA is filed under the name uncultured bacterium. RNAcentral's name for it is "partial 16S ribosomal RNA". It matches the Rfam family "Bacterial small subunit ribosomal RNA", at positions 524 to 776 of the family's 1533-position model. The record is from RNAcentral.
UACGUAGGGUGCAAGCGUUGUCCGGAAUUACUGGGCGUAAAGGGUUCGUAGGCGGUGCGGCAAGUUGGGAGUGAAAUCUCCGGGCUUAACCCGGAAAGGUCAGCCGAUACUGCGGGGCUAGAGUGCAGAAGGGGCAACUGGAAUUCUCGGUGUAGCGGUGAAAUGCGUAGAUAUCGAGAGGAACACCUGCGGCGAAGGCGGGUUGCUGGGACGGUGCUGACGCUGAGACGCGAAAGCGUGGGGAGCAAACAGG